Hordeum vulgare subsp. vulgare (domesticated barley) is the source of this 136-nucleotide non-coding RNA. Lineage: Eukaryota; Viridiplantae; Streptophyta; Magnoliopsida; Poales; Poaceae. The record is from Rfam.
GAAGUACUCCCUGCGUCUUAAAAUUCUUGUCUUAGGUUUGUCUAGAAAUGGAUGUAUCAAAAUACUAAAACAUGACUAGGUACAUUCAUAUCUAGACAAAUCUANNACAAGAAUUUUGAAACGGAGGGAGUAGUAA